UCCCUGAUGGUCCAGUGGCAAAGACUCUGUGCUCCUAAUGCAGGGGGCCUGGGUUCAAUCCCUAGUCAGGGAA
Hippopotamus amphibius kiboko is the source of this 73-nucleotide non-coding RNA. NCBI's taxonomy places the organism in Eukaryota, Metazoa, Chordata, Mammalia, Artiodactyla, Hippopotamidae. The record is from the annotation of a RefSeq genome assembly.